UUGAUGGCACUUCUGGACAUGAAUUGUGCUGUUUAUCCCCAAGAAUAGCAUCUGUGCUGACUCAUCAGUAGUGAUGGGGACUGAGCAACCCUCAAAGGGAGAAGCUAGUUCAGUGUCCUGGCCCAUUCAAUCCUUGGCCUCC
Unclassified non-coding RNA from Apteryx haastii (Great spotted kiwi), 142 nucleotides. Lineage: Eukaryota; Metazoa; Chordata; Aves; Apterygiformes; Apterygidae. The record is from Ensembl.